AGAUUUGCGCAGUGGCAGUAUCGUAGCCAAUGACGUUAAUCCGAGGCGUGAUUAUUGCUAAUUGAAAACUUUUCCCAAUUCUCCGCCAUGACGACUUGAAAUAUAGUCGGCAAUAGCAAUUUUUGACAGUCUCGGGGGGGG
This is a small nuclear RNA of Elgaria multicarinata webbii, 141 nucleotides long. RefSeq annotates it as U4 spliceosomal RNA. The record is from RefSeq and is a predicted model, not a curated record. The transcript has a single exon. NCBI's taxonomy places the organism in Eukaryota, Metazoa, Chordata, Lepidosauria, Squamata, Anguidae.